UAGAGGUCCACUUUGCUCAUAGUACCCUACAACAGGACCUCAAAUGAAUCCUUGAUAAUGAGACCUCUACUGCAGAGUGUGGGCUUUCCAGCCAGAAACUGCUUUAUCUUGAGUCAACUAAUUAACUUGACAAAGCUCUCAGUGCUUUAAAAACAAGCAACAUCUCUGAACAGCUGACAGCAUUUUAGAGAGAUACAUCUGGGAAGCUGCAAGCACAGAAAUACAUCUGUUUCCAUUGUUAUAGAAAGAUAAACAGGAUCAGACUCCAGACACUGUGGGAAAAAAGUUCUUGCUUGUCUGCUUACUGUUUACUGCCUUUCUGGAGGAAGAAAUGUCACGGAUGUGUCAAAUGCCAGGAGCCAUCAGAUAAAUGGAGAUAUUGGUUCACAAGGACCUUUUUGGAACAGAGAGUGAGACUUCCUCUCUGUUAACUCUGCUGGCUGCACAUUGGCCAAGUCCAGAUUGAAGACCUAUUAGUCAUGUCUGACUGGAAAGCACACACUGUAUCCAUGGCCUUCAAGAUUCAGAAGAGAUGAAAGCCAGUGGGUUUUUCACCAGCAGAGUAAAUAAAUGAGGACUCAACUCAGGAAAAGGACAACCUCUCUUAUGCUUUCCGACACGGCUGCCGGGCAUUCCGCAUUAAAUUGAAAGAGAGUACAAACGAUGCAGAAAAUAUGAUUGAGAUCACCCUAGGCAAGCAUGGCUUCCUUUCAAUGCAUGGAAAAGUUUGCAUAAAAGAUACGACUAGAGAGGAGAAAUGCUUCUCAAAUAGACCCAAAUUACCUGUCCUAUGGCACUGAACCUUUUUUAUAUACAUCCAUAUAUUUACUUAUUUGUGGGGAAUGCAAUAACCACAGAGUUCCUGUUUGCUCUAUUUCUUAGGGAUAAAGUUAUUCUGUGGUCAGAGACACCUAAGACCAUUAGGCACGCACACUACAGAUCUGAAGAAGGGCUUUUUACCCGAGCUUCCAGGAAAAAUAUUGACAAGGCAGUAAAAAUACUUUCCUUGAUUACUCAACCUCGUAUUUUAAACCUAAAAUUACAGGAACUUUUCUCUUUUAGUCAUUUAUUUUUAGCUUCUCUAUUUUUCCACCUUUUGGGUCUUUUUGGCUCACCUUUUCAAACAUGGUCUAUUUAUACUGACUCUGCAAAUCGAGGAAUAGCAAACCCUUUAAAGCAUUGUCACUGUUUCCCUCUGACUAGUUUUCAAGCUACUUGGGGACAAGUGAAUCUCAGCUUCUGGAGAUAAAUGGAUAAAGGAGAGUUU
This 1267-nucleotide long non-coding RNA is filed under the name Equus caballus (horse). Its description in RNAcentral is "lncRNA (ENSECAG00000054702.1)". Lineage: Eukaryota; Metazoa; Chordata; Mammalia; Perissodactyla; Equidae. The record is from RNAcentral.